This 105-nucleotide microRNA precursor is filed under the name Canis lupus familiaris (dog). RNAcentral's name for it is "mir-8834 microRNA precursor family". It matches the Rfam family "mir-8834 microRNA precursor family". Lineage: Eukaryota; Metazoa; Chordata; Mammalia; Carnivora; Canidae. The record is from Rfam by way of RNAcentral.
CGGAGGAACAGCCCCAGUGGCGGGGCCAGCUCUGCAGCCCUGGAGUCAGCCCCCGCAGUAGCUCCAGAGCUCUCCGUCUGCAGGGCCUGGAGGCUCCGGGGUGGG